This 68-nucleotide transfer RNA is filed under the name Marmota monax (woodchuck). It matches the Rfam family "tRNA". Rfam says of the family: Transfer RNA (tRNA) molecules are approximately 80 nucleotides in length. Their secondary structure includes four short double-helical elements and three loops (D, anti-codon, and T loops). Further hydrogen bonds mediate the characteristic L-shaped molecular structure. tRNAs have two regions of fundamental functional importance: the anti-codon, which is responsible for specific mRNA codon recognition, and the 3' end, to which the tRNAs corresponding amino acid is attached (by aminoacyl-tRNA synthetases). tRNAs cope with the degeneracy of the genetic code in two manners: having more than one tRNA (with a specific anti-codon) for a particular amino acid; and 'wobble' base-pairing, i.e. permitting non-standard base-pairing at the 3rd anti-codon position. Lineage: Eukaryota; Metazoa; Chordata; Mammalia; Rodentia; Sciuridae. The record is from Rfam by way of RNAcentral. RNAcentral also lists the same sequence under 2 other names.
GUUGUGGCUCAGUGGUACAGCACUUGCCUCACAAGUGUGAGUCACUGGGUUCGAUCCCCAGCACAACA